UGAAUACGAGACGCUAAGGCGUCGAAGUAGUGUAUGUCAUACUUCCAAGAAAAGCUUGCACUGUCAUAAGUAAAAAAUGCCUGUACCAUAACCGACACAGGUGGGUAGGUAGAGUAUACUAAGGGGCGCGAGAUAACUCUCUCUAAGGAACUCGGCAAAAUAACUCCGUAACUUCGGGAGAAGGAGUACCUUAUUCUAUAAGGUUGCAAUAACAAGAUCCAAGCAACUGUUUAUCAAAAACACAGGUCUCCGCUAAGUCGUAAGACGAUGUAUGGGGGCUGACGCCUGCCCAGUGCCAGAAGGUUAAAGAAGUCGGUUAGCAUUAGCGAAGCUGGUAACUGAAGCCCUGGUGAACGGCGGCCGUAACUAUAACGGUCCUAAGGUAGCGAAAUUCCUUGUCGGGUAAGUUCCGACCCGCACGAAAGGCGUAAUGAUUUGGAUACUGUCUCGGAGAGGGGCUCGGUGAAAUAGACUUGUCUGUGAAGAUGCGGACUACCUGCACCAGGACAGAAAGACCCUAUGAAGCUUUACUGUAACUUGAAAUUGAAAUUGGACUUUAUUCGCGCAGUAUAGGUGGGAGGUGUUGAUUAUAAUCUUGCGGGAUUAUUGGAGCCAUCAGUGAGAUACCACUCUUGUAAUGUUAGAUUUCUAACUUUGAAUCAUUAUCUGGUCAAAGGACAGUUUCAGGCAGGCAGUUUGACUGGGGCGGUCGCCUCCCAAACGGUAACGGAGGCGUACAAAGGUUUCCUCUGAACGGGUAGAAAUCGUAUCUAGAGUGUAAAGGCAUAAGGAAGCUUGACUGUGUGACCUACAAGUCGAACAGGGACGAAAGUCGGUCUUAGUGAUCUGACGGUACUGAGUGGAAAGGCCGUCACUCAACGGAUAAAAGUUACUCUAAGGAUAACAGGCUGAUCUCCCCCAAGAGUUCACAUCGACGGGGAGGUUUGGCACCUCGAUGUCGGCUCAUCGCAUCCUGGGGCGGUAGUACGUCCCAAGGGUUGGGCUGUUCGCCCAUGAAAGCGGUACGCGAGCUGGGUUCAGAACGUCGUGAGACAGUUCGUUCCAUAUCCGGUGUAGGCGUUAGAAUAUUGAGAGGAGCCUUCUUUAGUACGAGAGGACCGAGAAAGACAUACCUCUGGUGUACCAGUUAUCGUGCCAACGGUAAACGCUGGGUAGCUAUGUAUGGAGUGGAUAACCGCUGAAAGCAUCUAAGUGGGAAGCCCACCUCAAGAUAAG
Molecule: ribosomal RNA, 1236 nt
Filed under: metagenome
Description: bacterial LSU rRNA
Rfam family: Bacterial large subunit ribosomal RNA
Source: RNAcentral